This 565-nucleotide ribosomal RNA is filed under the name Alligator sinensis (Chinese alligator). RNAcentral's name for it is "partial large subunit ribosomal RNA". It matches the Rfam family "Bacterial large subunit ribosomal RNA", at positions 1816 to 2597 of the family's 2925-position model. Lineage: Eukaryota; Metazoa; Chordata; Crocodylia; Alligatoridae. The record is from RNAcentral.
AGCCCCCAGCCCUCUUAGUAUUUGGGGUGAUGCCUGCCCAAUGACUACUAGUUAAAUGGCCGCGGUAUCUACAACCGUGCAAAGGUAGCGUAAUCACUUGUUCUUUAAAUAAGGACCAGUAUGAACGGCUAAACGAGAGUCUAACUGUCUCCUGCAAGCAGCCAAUGAAAUUGAUCUUCCUGUGCAAAAGCAGGAAUAGCCCCACCAGACGAGAAGACCCUGUGAAACUUUAAUCGGCUAAGUCAUACACACAACUAAUAAUCACCCAUAAUUACCUGGACCGUGACUUAGCGUUUUUGGUUGGGGUGACCUUGAAACAAAGAAAAACUUUUAAGAAAGCUAUAACAAAGUAGCCAGUAUCCACUGAGACCCCCACACCUCAAAGUACUUAAAUGUAAUUAGAUCCGACAACGUCGAUCCAUGAACCAAGCUACUCCAGGGAUAACAGCGCAAUCCCCUUCAAGAGCCCCUAUCGACAGGGGGGUUUACGACCUCGAUGUUGGAUCAGGACACCCCAUUGGUGUAACCGCUAAUAAUGGUUCGUUUGUUCAACGAUUAAAGUCCU